UAAGUUUGACCUCGGAUCAGGUAGGGAUACCCGCUGAACUUAAGCAUAUCAAUAAGCGGAGGAAAAGAANNCAACAGGGAUUGCCUCAGUAACGGCGAGUGAAGCGGCAACAGCUCAAAUUUGAAAUCUGGGUNNNCAGGCUCCGAGUUGUAAUUUGUAGAAGAUGCUUCGGGUGUGGCUCCGGUCUAAGUUCCUUGGAACAGGACGUCAUAGAGGGUGAGAAUCCCGUACGUGACUGGUCGCCUUCGCCCAUGUGAAGCUCUUUCGACGAGUCGAGUUGUUUGGGAAUGCAGCUCAAAAUGGGUGGUAAAUUUCAUCUAAAGCUAAAUAUUGGCCAGAGACCGAUAGCGCACAAGUAGAGUGAUCGAAAGAUGAAAAGCACUUUGGAAAGAGAGUUAAACAGUACGUGAAAUUGUUGAAAGGGAAGCGCUUGCAACCAGACUUGCACGCUGCCGAUCAUCCGGGGUUCUCCCCCGGUGCACUCGGUUGCGUUCAGGCCAGCAUCGGUUUGGGUGGUUGGAUAAAGGCCUUGGGGAUGUAGCUUCUUUCGGGGAGUGUUAUAGCCCUCGGUGCAAUGCAGCCUACUCGGACCGAGGACCGCGCUUCGGCUAGGAUGCUGGCGUAAUGGUUGUAAGCGACC
This 640-nucleotide ribosomal RNA is filed under the name uncultured fungus. Its description in RNAcentral is "eukaryotic LSU rRNA". It matches the Rfam family "Eukaryotic large subunit ribosomal RNA", at positions 1 to 649 of the family's 3401-position model. The record is from RNAcentral. Lineage: Eukaryota; Fungi.